UUGAGCCGAGGAUGAUUUAUUAGAGUUAUCCCUGUCUGAAAUGGCAUCUUUUGUGAAGGGUUGUGGUUUUCUGAGGCUCCA
Cricetulus griseus (Chinese hamster) is the source of this 81-nucleotide small nucleolar RNA. Ensembl annotates it as small nucleolar RNA R38. Lineage: Eukaryota; Metazoa; Chordata; Mammalia; Rodentia; Cricetidae. The record is from Ensembl.